GGGCGCUGGGGACCUGCCCCUUGCCCGGCGCGGGCACAGAGCUCCGCUGCACCGCCACAUCCCCGGGAUCGGAGGAGAAUCAGAUCCGCGGGGCGCAAACCCCUAGGUCCCGGGCGCCCGAGCUCCCCACACACUGGCAGCCGUGGUGGGCACCGGGUCCCCCCCACGGCCACUGGACAGAUGUGCAGACGAGAGGCCCAGCGCUGACCUGGAUCCUGAAGCAAGAGGGACAUCCCAGAUGGGGUCCUCCCUGAGGGUGCCCGGACCUCAGGUCCCACCAGAGAUGGCGGAGGAGGAGACAGCACGAGGAAGGCCAGGGCUGAGCAAUGGUGAAUUCAUGAGAAGCACAGGAGUCUGAGAGGUAACCACAGCAACCACAAUGAUGACCAACCCCGUCCCACUCUGCACCUGGAUUCUAAAGCAGCCCUCACUGCAGUGCCGUAGCAACCCCACGAGGAGGGGCCACCCGCCCUUCUGGAUCGGACAUGGGUUCCUAUUGGUCUCCACAAAGCCCAAAUCAAUAAGUGUGGGUACAGGUACUUGUGGAUGCCCAAGGACUCUGGUUUGGCCGGAGGAGAGUUUUGUGAAAAAAUAAAUAAAGCACCGUGUCGACUGCUCGCUUCCUGGGAC
This 630-nucleotide long non-coding RNA is filed under the name Heterocephalus glaber (naked mole-rat). RNAcentral's name for it is "lncRNA (ENSHGLG00100044790.1)". Lineage: Eukaryota; Metazoa; Chordata; Mammalia; Rodentia; Bathyergidae. The record is from RNAcentral.